UUUGUUUCGUUAGAUAUCGGAUUUAUUCAGAUCAGAUCAGAGCAGAGCAGGAGUCAACACGGGGCGGCAUACGGACGAGAUGAUGAAGUGAUGGUACAAUUUGACAAAUGGAAAUGGCACACGCAGAUGGUUUGAUUUGUUUUCGGUUCGAGGCCAUUGGCGAGAUGAGAUUCAGCAUCAGGAGACAAGAUAGCAUCAUUGAUCACACCGAGUAAAACAAGGACAACGACCCAAAAAACGAAUCGGCACCAAUGUGCGUUUAUGUAUAGAUAUGUGUUUUUUGGUUUCGAUAUUGAUUGGUACGAGUGUUUUGUGUGAUUUAUUGAGGCAUUCGCAUGGUACCCAGCAGAUGAGUAGUUGUUCAAAGGACAGGCAGGCAAUAUAUAUG
Long non-coding RNA from Contarinia nasturtii (swede midge), 388 nucleotides. RefSeq lists it as uncharacterized. The transcript has 3 exons. NCBI's taxonomy places the organism in Eukaryota, Metazoa, Arthropoda, Insecta, Diptera, Cecidomyiidae. The record is from RefSeq and is a predicted model, not a curated record.